ACUGGUAGAGGAUGGACUUAUGGCGCAUUAGCUGGUUGGCGGGGUAACGGCCCACCAAGGCGACGAUGCGUAGCCGACCUGAGAGGGUGACCGGCCACAUUGGGACUGAGACACGGCCCAAACUCCUACGGGAGGCAGCAGUAGGGAAUCUUCCACAAUGGACGCAAGUCUGAUGGAGCAACGCCGCGUGAGUGAAGAAGGUCUUCGGAUCGUAAAACUCUGUUGUUAGAGAAGAACAAGGAUGAGAGUAACUGUUCAUCCCUUGACGGUAUCUAACCAGAAAGCCACGGCUAACUAC
This 298-nucleotide ribosomal RNA is filed under the name uncultured bacterium. Its description in RNAcentral is "partial 16S ribosomal RNA". It matches the Rfam family "Bacterial small subunit ribosomal RNA", at positions 214 to 504 of the family's 1533-position model. The record is from RNAcentral.